ACUCCUACGGGAGGCAGCAGUGGGGAAUAUUGGACAAUGGGGGCAACCCUGAUCCAGCAAUGCCGCGUGAGUGAUGAAGGCCUUCGGGUUGUAAAGCUCUUUUGGCGGGGACGAUGAUGACGGUACCCGCAGAAUAAGCCCCGGCUAACUUCGUGCCAGCAGCCGCGGUAAUACGAAGGGGGCUAGCGUUGUUCGGAAUUACUGGGCGUAAAGGGCGCGUAGGCGGUCCUGAUCGUCGGAUGUGAAAGGCCUGGGCUCAACCUGGGAACUGCAUCCGAUACGGCGGGACUGGAGUGUGGGAGAGGUUGGUGGAAUUCCCAGUGUAGAGGUGAAAUUCGUAGAUAUUGGGAAGAACACCGGUGGCGAAGGCGGCCAACUGGACCACAACUGACGCUGAGGCGCGAAAGCGUGGGGAGCAAACAGGAUUAGAUACCCUGGUAGUCCACGCUGUAAACGAUGCGUGCUAGACGUUGGGAGCCCUAGGCUCUCGGUGUCGUCGCUAACGCUUUAAGCACGCCGCCUGGGGAGUACGGCCGCAAGGUUAAAACUUAAAGGAAUUGACG
This 563-nucleotide ribosomal RNA is filed under the name uncultured Alphaproteobacteria bacterium. Its description in RNAcentral is "bacterial SSU rRNA". It matches the Rfam family "Bacterial small subunit ribosomal RNA", at positions 335 to 915 of the family's 1533-position model. The record is from RNAcentral. Lineage: Bacteria; Pseudomonadati; Pseudomonadota; Alphaproteobacteria.